CUAAGGAAUAUUACGGAAAUCCCACACAUUCGUUUUUACUUUGUUCAGUUUUGAGAGGUCUAACUCUCAAAACGAUUCAUCUCUAUUCAUUAGAGGUCAAUCACAUUUUGUUCUUUGAAAACUGGAUACUGUUUAAAAAGUAAUUAAAGUAAGAAACCGAGAAAACACCGCGUUUUAAAUGAGUUUUUUAAUUAGUUCUUAUCGUAAGAUAAUGAAUAAAAUUAUUGACUAACAUCAUGAGAUUCCUUCGGGAAUACCAUCGAUAGAAAUUUAGUUGUAGUGGUUUCUAAUUCGAGGACAUGAAGGGUUUGAGAAGCAGAGCGUACUAGCGUACGUGAGCAUCGCAGAACACGAAACGGACGAAGAAGUAGGAAGCAAUACAGAUAAAUUA
RNAcentral lists this unclassified non-coding RNA (391 nucleotides) under uncultured bacterium. RNAcentral describes it as "16S-23S ribosomal RNA intergenic spacer". The record is from RNAcentral.